UUGUGUUUCAGUGAAUUAUUGAAGAUAGAGUGAUUAUGCAUCAUACUGGAUGAAAUUUUACUGGGGAUGAGAUAUCAGUACUUCUCUCAUUUAUGACGUGCCAUGUCUGACAGUCUGAGAUGCACAGCUACUGCUAUAUGGUAACAGGUCGACUAUUUUUCCAACUAACAUGAGGUGAGAACAUGACUAUUGUUGAUGUUAAAUUUUCUCAUUCAGUGUUUUACCCCUGCCCCAACAACACCUAACCCCAAAGCUUCAUUUGGAUGCUGCAAAGGACAAUGAACGGUUAAGGUGUGAGAAGUUCAUGUGUAGAGAUGAUCCGAGCUGCAAGAGAUGGCAACAUUGAAACAAACAAAAGAAAGAGAGAGAACUGCAGCAGGACUAGUAGUUCUCUUUUGAUAACUAGCUGCCCUUUCAUGCUGCAUGUCUGUUAAUUGCUUGCCUGCUGAGGUUUGAAGAUGCUCUCACCUCUGACAUCUGACAUUGAAGACGUAAUGUAACAGAGCAUCUGGCUCAGCAAGGGAUGAUCUCCUUCCUACUAAACUCACCAACCAACUUUACUGUGGUGGUUUAUUUUAUCCAUCACUACUAAUUCUGCACAUAUUUCCCACCUCUUUAUAGAUCUAUACAAGUUAUGGUAUUGGUAGACUCAGUGGUAAAUGAUAUCGAGUCGAAGUGGCUGUGUAUACACGUAGAUUCUCACCAUUGAGAGCAAAGACAACAUCCCGUUAGCUUAAUGCAUCAAUCUAGCAUUAUCAUGUUCCCGUGAACAAGAAUACAAAUCAGUAAAUCACUCUUUAGUUCUGUGAAUUUCCUUACAUGAGUAAAUACCAACUCAUAGCCAUAGUUUUCAGGCACCUUGGAUCCGAAGACAAAGCAACCC
RNAcentral lists this long non-coding RNA (883 nucleotides) under Phoenix dactylifera (date palm). RNAcentral's name for it is "long non-coding RNA (PDAC_LNC007361)". The record is from RNAcentral. Lineage: Eukaryota; Viridiplantae; Streptophyta; Magnoliopsida; Arecales; Arecaceae.